Molecule: ribosomal RNA, 649 nt
Filed under: uncultured bacterium
Lineage: Bacteria
Description: bacterial SSU rRNA
Rfam family: Bacterial small subunit ribosomal RNA
Source: RNAcentral
CAUGCAAGUCGAACGGUAACAUGGGGAGCUUGCUCCCUGAUGACGAGUGGCGGACGGGUGAGUAACGCGUAGGAAUUUGCCCAGUCGUGGGGGACAACUCGGGGAAACUCGAGCUAAUACCGCAUACGCCCUGCGGGGGAAAGCGGGGGACUCUUCGGAGCCUCGCGCUUUUGGAUGAGCCUAAGUCGGAUUAGCUUGAUGGUGAGGUAAAGGCUCACCAUGGCGACGAUCCGUAGCUGGUCUGAGAGGACGAUCAGCCACACUGGGACUGAGACACGGCCCAGACUCCUACGGGAGGCAGCAGUGGGGAAUAUUGGACAAUGGGGGCAACCCUGAUCCAGCAAUGCCGCGUGUGUGAAGAAGGCCUGCGGGUUGUAAAGCACUUUCAGUAGGGAAGAAAAGCUCGAGGUUAAUACCCUCGGGUCUUGACGUAACUUACAGAAGAAGCACCGGCUAACUCCGUGCCAGCAGCCGCGGUAAUACGGAGGGUGCGAGCGUUAAUCGGAAUUACUGGGCGUAAAGCGCGCGUAGGCGGUUGGACCAGUCGAAUGUGAAAGCCCCGGGCUUAACCUGGGAAUUGCGUUCGAUACUACCCAACUAGAGUAUGGGAGAGGGAAGCGGAAUUUCCGGUGUAGCGGUGAAAUGCGUA